UGCGGUGGUAGGCGCGCAGUGAGCGGAUGAGCAGGGCAUCGUCAUAGGCGGCUGCCAGCCCUGGCACGGGCAGGGCCUGGAUGAUGCCCGACACCAGGGCCGUCCUGAGCACUUGCUCCCGGAGCAUGGCCUUCUUCUGCUGUAGGGCCUCCAGCGAGAUAUCGGGCAGCGACAGCUGGCCAGCGUGGCACCGGUGGGCAGGCAGGUCAUGCUCCCAGGUGGACACGAGCAUUGGGAAGUCAUCGCAGGAUGGCUAGAGGUUGGACACGAGGAAGAGGCGGGGGUCGGGCACGCCGACUGCCCGAAGCCGCUCCGCACAGUGGUCUCAGAUCUCCUGGAGGACAGUGGCCUUGCUGAAGCCCGAGGGCCGCUGGCUGCAUGUGGCCACCAGUUCCUCGUCCACCUUGGUGCGCACGAAGUAGAACUUCUUGCCCUGGCGCAGGAUCUCAGAGGCCAGGCGGGUCUCCACGGCCCCGCAGCAGCGGGGCGACACCAGCAGGAAGAAGUCGUAGCAGCUAAAGUCCACCUGCUUCAGGUACUUGUUGGCUGGGCAGCCCGGAGAGCCAGCCCCUGGGAGGUCCCACAGCAUCACAUCGGAAAGCUGCGGGUGUGGGUAGGGAGAGGGCUGCAUCAUGGUCUCCACGACACCCGUGAGGGCCGCGCCAGGGUCCUCGGCCCCCAGGCCACGCAGGGCAUUGAUGAGGGACGACUUGCCGGCCCCCAACUCGCCUAUGACGCCCACCUCCAGCCGGAUGUUGUCCAAGGAGGCCAGCAGCUCUCGAAGGCACGGCCGGCAACUUGAGAGUAGCCAUGGUGACCCGUGGUUGAGAGAGCAGCAGGGGACAAGGGAGUCACAGGAUGUGAUCCUCAACGUCUUUGGAGGAGAAGAGAGCUGGUCACACACCUCGUGGGCCUUGGGGUGGGCAGAAAGAGGGGUAUCAAGGAUGUGAGGCAGCCCCUCUGCAACCCACAGCCCUCUCCUCCUCAGGAACCCGGCAUACACUGGGCACACA
This 1013-nucleotide long non-coding RNA is filed under the name Heterocephalus glaber (naked mole-rat). Its description in RNAcentral is "lncRNA (ENSHGLG00000036807.1)". The record is from RNAcentral. Lineage: Eukaryota; Metazoa; Chordata; Mammalia; Rodentia; Bathyergidae.